RNAcentral lists this long non-coding RNA (2184 nucleotides) under Homo sapiens (human). RNAcentral's name for it is "non-protein coding lnc-ARHGAP17-12:1". Lineage: Eukaryota; Metazoa; Chordata; Mammalia; Primates; Hominidae. The record is from RNAcentral.
AUGUAGUAAAACUCCAGUAAUACCAAGUGGUAUGUUAAAUCUAAGAUAUAAUCUGAAACAAGUCUUUAGCAACCUCUUCUUGACCUUGGUCUUCACUGAAGAGGUCAAAAAAUAAAGAUUUACAGGUAUCCAAAGGGGAUGGGUUCCAGAACCCUCUGAAGAUAACGUCUGUAGAUGCUCAAGUCACUCAACUGCCCCAAAGGCAUAGUAUUUGCAUAUAAUACUAUGUACAUCCUCCAGUAUACUUUAAAUAAUCUCUAGAUUGCUUGUAAUACCUGCUGCAAUAUAAAUGCUAUGUAAAUAGUUGUUAUACUCUUAUUUUAAAAUCUGUAUUAGUCUUUACUAUUAUUUUUUACUGUUUUCUUGCCCCCAAAUAUUUAUGAUCUGUGGUUUUGAAUCUGCAGAUGCAGAACCAUGUGUAUGAGGACUGUAUAUUUCAAAACUACCUUUAAAAAUGAAAAAGGCCAGAGCAGGCUUGAGCAAAUUUUCAGGUAACACUGAUUUCUUCUGUGUAAGAAGGCACAAACUUAGGAUAAGUGGCAGGAAACAACUAAGUGCUAAUAUAAGUGAUUUAAAAAGUCACAACUGCAUGGUAAAUGCUGGGUAAUAAAUAUGUCUACAGAUGUCGGGCGCGGUGGCUCACGCCUGUAAUCCCAGCACUUGGGGAGGCCGAGGUGGGCGGAUCACGAGGUCAACAGUGAAACCCCGUCUCUACUAAAAAUACAAAACAUUAGCCGGGUGUGGUGGCGGGCACCUGCAGUCCCAGCUACUUGGGAGGCUGAGGCAGAAUUGUGUGAAGCCAGAAGGCAGAGGAUGCAGUGAGCCGAGAUUACACCACUGCACUCCAGCCUGGGAGACAGUGAGACUCUGUCUCAAAAAAAAAAAAAAAAAACAAAAACUGUCUACAGGAAUCAGGUGUUAAUACACUUAGAAAUAUUAGGAUAAGCUAUUCACAAUCCAGGAAAAAGAUUUAGAUACCACUUAAAAAUAUUUCCAGAAUUAUCUAAGGCCCAAAAAAGUUUUAAAAUUCUGGAUACCACUUAAAACAUACAGGAAACAAAAAGUCUAUAUUAAGAAAAACACCUCAGUAUAGUCACCCUGAUGAAGGUACAGAAGUCAAUUCUAGAAUUUAAAAGGACAAACAGGUUAUUGUUUAAAAAAGAUACAGCAAGAAAAACAGACUUCUCACUACUUAAUGCUCAUUGAUCAACACUUGUCAUCAACAUUAUUUAUUUUAUUAUUAAAACAUAUGAGGUUGGGAAGAGCCAUUCCAAGUAAAUACAAAUAUUCUAAAAUAUACAUCUUCCAAGAUUCAGCACUUCUUACAUUCAUCACAGUAACUGUUUCCACAGCAGGGAAUCACAACAGCAUCAGUCAUAAUAUCCUUGCAGAUGAGACACAACAAUUCAUCUGGGAUAGGAUCAUCUUCUUCUGAGGAAGAAGAUGGCUCCUCUGGUAAGAAGGGAGGUUUCUCUUUCUUCCCAAUUGCAUAUGCUUCUCUGUAAAAGAAAGUUUUCAUGUUUUACCAUUGUUAAGAAGGCAGAGUACUCAUGCUACAUGUUCUACUAUAACAUAAUGGGAACACAUAAUUCAGCGCAAUGCCAAAUUAGUUUAGACAAGCACCAUAUCUUCUAAAAUAAGGGAGUAAUUAUGUACAACCUAACCCUAAACAAAGACACAAAAGUCUAAACAAGCAUAACAAAAAGAAGCAAAGAAAUGCUACAAAAACAAUAAAAGGAUCUUAGAACCCGUCACUCUUAAGAACUGAGGGCCAGAAAUAAAGCGAAAUGUUCUGUGCCAUAAAGUUCUAUUUAAGUGACAAAGACAAGACUUGAAUUUAGACAACACCAUAAUCACAAUUUUCGGUGUUACAAAAAUGUAAAGUAACACCUCAUUAGACAUUCUAGGUCCAGUUUUUUGUAGAAAUGCAUUUUGCAGAAAUGUUGGGCAUUAAAUAUAGUAUUAAAAAAUAAAAAUAGCUAUUCUCAGACUUGUCACCACUGCUUCUACACCCCCAUCUUCUCUGUAAUCAGGCAAAUUUGCAAAACACAGGAAUCCCUAGAGAAACCCUUUCUAUUUCAUUCAGGAACAGAGUGUGUUUAUCUCAAUGCUGAAAAUGAAAGAAUCUCGGCUGUACAGAGUAGGGUACCUUAGGUGUGUUAUUUGUGUUGCAGUUGCUCCAUA